GAUGAACGCUGGCGGCGUGCCUAACACAUGCAAGUCGAACGGAGUCGUUUUGGAAAUCUCUUCGGAGAUGGAAUUCUCGACUUAGUGGCGGACGGGUGAGUAACGCGUGAGCAAUCUGCCUUUAAGAGGGGGAUAACAGUCGGAAACGGCUGCUAAUACCGCAUAAAGCAUUAAAUUCGCAUGUUUUUGAUGCCAAAGGAGCAAUCCGCUUUUAGAUGAGCUCGCGUCUGAUUAGCUAGUUGGCGGGGUAACGGCCCACCAAGGCGGCGAUCAGUAGCCGGACGGAGAGGUUGAACGGCCACAAUGGGACUGAGACACGGCGCAGCCUACUACGGGAGGCAGCAGUGGGGAAUAUUGCGCAAUGAGGGAAAACCUGACGCAGCAACGCCGCGUGAUUGAAGAAGGCCUUCGGGUUGUAAAGAUCUUUAAUCAGGGACGAAACAAAUGACGGUACCUGAAGAAUAAGCUCCGGCUAACUACGUG
Molecule: ribosomal RNA, 483 nt
Filed under: uncultured bacterium
Lineage: Bacteria
Description: partial 16S ribosomal RNA
Rfam family: Bacterial small subunit ribosomal RNA
Source: RNAcentral